UACACUCCUGCGGGAGGCAGCUGUGGGGAAUUUUGGACAAUGGGCGAAAGCCUGAUCCAGCAAUGCCGCGUGAGUGAAGAAGGCCUUCGGGUUGUAAAGCUCUUUUGUCAGGGAAGAAACGGUGAAAGCUAAUAUCUUUUGCUAAUGACGGUACCUGAAGAAUAAGCACCGGCUAACUACGUGCCAGCAGCCGCGGUAAUACGUAGGGUGCAAGCGUUAAUCGGAAUUACUGGGCGUAAAGCGUGCGCAGGCGGUUUUGUAAGUCUGAUGUGAAAUCCCCGGGCUCAACCUGGGAAUUGCAUUGGAGACUGCAAGGCUAGAAUCUGGCAGAGGGGGGUAGAAUUCCACGUGUAGCAGUGAAAUGCGUAGAUAUGUGGAGGAACACCGAUGGCGAAGGCAGCCCCCUGGGUCAAGAUUGACGCUCAUGCACGAAAGCGUGGGGAGCAAACAGGAUUAGAAACCCUUGUAGUCC
This 472-nucleotide ribosomal RNA is filed under the name uncultured organism. RNAcentral describes it as "partial 16S ribosomal RNA". It matches the Rfam family "Bacterial small subunit ribosomal RNA", at positions 332 to 796 of the family's 1533-position model. The record is from RNAcentral.